RNAcentral lists this long non-coding RNA (242 nucleotides) under Nicotiana benthamiana. RNAcentral describes it as "long non-coding RNA (NBEN_LNC001116)". The record is from RNAcentral. Lineage: Eukaryota; Viridiplantae; Streptophyta; Magnoliopsida; Solanales; Solanaceae.
AAGGAUUGGAGCUAUUAAUGUUCUUUGCUCAUCCGCUGAUGCAGCGACAAGGUACAGUCACCCGCACUAACAACUACAUAAUUGUCCUCUUAUAGGAAAAAUGAUGUUGCACUGGAAAACAAUGGUUCCAUAUGAAAUGCCAAUUACGAGAUGUUGCCCCUUUGCUUGGAUAUUGUUUGCUACAAUUGGUAUCUCCUAUCACCUGAGCUUAUGCUUGAUUGGAUUUUAUGUGGGUGAACCAA